This 469-nucleotide ribosomal RNA is filed under the name uncultured bacterium. RNAcentral describes it as "partial 16S ribosomal RNA". It matches the Rfam family "Bacterial small subunit ribosomal RNA", at positions 28 to 507 of the family's 1533-position model. The record is from RNAcentral.
GACGUACGCUGGCGGCGUGCUUAACACAUGCAAGGCGAACGGAAAGGCACUGCUUGCUGGGUGCUCGAUUGGGGAACGGGUGAGUAACACGUGGGUGAUCUGCCCCUUACUUUGGGAUAAGCCUGUGAAACUGGGUCUAAUGCUGGAUAGGACUAUGCUGUAGGGGGAGUUGUGGUAGGCUUGGUGUCGGUAAGGGAUGAGCUCGCGGCCGAUCAGCUUGUGUGUGGGGUAAUGGCCUACCAAGGCGGCGACGGGUAGCCGGCCUGAGAGGGUGGACGGCGACAUUGGGACUGAGAUACGGGCCAGAAUCCUACGGGAGGCAGCAGUGGGGAAUAUUGCACAAUGGGCGCAAGCCUGAUGCAGCGACGCCGCGUGGGGGAUGAAGGCCUUCGGGUUGUAAACUCCUUUCAGCCAUGACGAAGCCCUUGUGGUGACGGUAGUGGUAGAAGAAGCACCGGCUAACUACGUG